RNAcentral lists this ribosomal RNA (466 nucleotides) under uncultured bacterium. Its description in RNAcentral is "partial 16S ribosomal RNA". It matches the Rfam family "Bacterial small subunit ribosomal RNA", at positions 28 to 507 of the family's 1533-position model. The record is from RNAcentral.
GAUGAACGCUGGCGGCGUGCUUAACACAUGCAAGUCGAACGAUGAAGCCCAGCUUGCUGGGUGGAUUAGUGGCGAACGGGUGAGUAACACGUGAGUAACCUGCCCUUAACUCUGGGAUAAGCCUGGGAAACUGGGUCUAAUACCGGAUAGGAGCGUCCACCGCAUGGUGGGUGUUGGAAAGAUUUAUCGGUUUUGGAUGGACUCGCGGCCUAUCAGCUUGUUGGUGAGGUAAUGGCUCACCAAGGCGACGACGGGUAGCCGGCCUGAGAGGGUGACCGGCCACACUGGGACUGAGUCACGGCCCAGACUCCUACGGGAGGCAGCAGUGGGGAAUAUUGCACAAUGGGCGCAAGCCUGAUGCAGCGACGCCGCGUGAGGGAUGACGGCCUUCGGGUUGUAAACCUCUUUCAGUAGGGAAGAAGCGAAAGUGACGGUACCUGCAGAAGAAGCACCGGCUAACUACGUG